Molecule: ribosomal RNA, 253 nt
Filed under: uncultured bacterium
Lineage: Bacteria
Description: partial 16S ribosomal RNA
Rfam family: Bacterial small subunit ribosomal RNA
Source: RNAcentral
UACAGAGGGUGCGAGCGUUGUUCGGAAUUAUUGGGCGUAAAGCGCUUGUAGGCGGCACGUCAAGUCGCGUGUGAAAUCCCCAGGCUUAACCUGGGAAGUGCGCGCGAAACUGACGAGCUUGAGUGCCGGAGAGGGUCGCGGAAUUCCCGGUGUAGAGGUGAAAUUCGUAGAGAUCGGGAGGAACACCAGUGGCGAAGGCGGCUACCUGGACCAGCACUGACACUGAGGCACGAAAGCGUGGGGAGCAAACAGG